AUGGCUCAGAUUGAACGCUGGCGGCAGGCCUAACACAUGCAAGUCGAACGGUAACAGGAAGAAGCUUGCUCUUGCUGACGAGUGGCGGACGGGUGAGUAAUGUCUGGGAAACUGCCUGAUGGAGGGGGAUAACUACUGGAAACGGUAGCUAAUACCGCAUAACGUCGCAAGACCAAAGAGGGGGACCUUCGGGCCUCUUGCCAUCGGAUGUGCCCAGAUGGGAUUAGCUUGUUGGUGGGGUAACGGCUCACCAAGGCGACGAUCCCUAGCUGGUCUGAGAGGAUGACCAGCCACACUGGAACUGAGACACGGUCCAGACUCCUACGGGAGGCAGCAGUGGGGAAUAUUGCACAAUGGGCGCAAGCCUGAUGCAGCCAUGCCGCCGUGUAUGAAGAAGGCCUUCGGGUUGUAAAGUACUUUCAGCGGGGAGGAAGGGAGUAAAGUUAAUACCUUUGCUCAUUGACGUUACCCGCAGAAGAAGCACCGGCUAACUCCGUGCCAGCAGCCGC
RNAcentral lists this ribosomal RNA (509 nucleotides) under uncultured bacterium. Its description in RNAcentral is "bacterial SSU rRNA". It matches the Rfam family "Bacterial small subunit ribosomal RNA", at positions 19 to 518 of the family's 1533-position model. The record is from RNAcentral.